Molecule: long non-coding RNA, 2015 nt
Organism: Bos taurus (domestic cattle)
Lineage: Eukaryota; Metazoa; Chordata; Mammalia; Artiodactyla; Bovidae
Source: Ensembl
AUUUAGGGAGUGGAGGAGCAGCACUGGCUACCCGCUUCCAGGAUGCUUAGGUCCAAGCCCCCGCUUUACUACCUCCUGGCUGUGUGACCACGGGCACGUUACUCAGCCUCUCUGUGCUUCGGUUUCCUCCGCUUUAUUCACUUGGCUGCACUGCGGCAUGUGGGCUCUCUGACUGCGUGCACGGGCUUCUCUCUAGUUGUGGCAUUCAGGCUCCGGAGCGCACGGGCUGGGAGUUGCAAUGUCGGGGCUUGGUUGCCCCGUGGCGUGUGGGAUCUUAGUUCCCAGCCCAGGGAUCCAACCUGUGUGUCCUGCAUUGGAAGGCGUUUCCUGAACUACUGGCCCACCAGGGAAGCCCUGCUUCAACUUUAAGAUAGGGACAAUGAUGGGAUCUGUCUCCAUAGGGUUGUGGGAAACUUGCCAGGUCCCUCCUUCCCAUGAAGAGGCCCCAAGAUCUCAGCCUGAGGACUCAGAAAUGUAGCAGCCAUGUCAGACCAGCCACUGGAGAAGGGUCCUGGGAGACACGCAGCAGACGACAUCACCCCAAACCCUCAGAUCCCAGAGGCCAUGCCAAUGGUAAGGCCAGAGGCACAUGCCUCCUUACCCUGGUGUCCUGUGUACCUGACCAGGGCCUAGCAGCUCCCUGUGCCAGUCUCCAGGAGGAACUGGUGUUGUGUGUGGAUACGUGUGUGUACAUACAGAAGAUGGGGUCUGUCUCUUCUUCCCCUCACUACCCCGAUUUGUCUCUGAAUCUGAAGUCAAAUGAUCUGAUGGAAAGAGCCCCAGCCGGGGCUUAGGAGACCCAGGUGCCAGUCCUUGCUGUGUGCCUUUGGGCGCCUUUCCCUCCCUCUUUGACCUCAGUUUCUCAAAGGUGCCUUCUAAGGCUGAUGUUUCACAGUCUUUGAGUGGGCUUAUGACUCCUCGCCCUGGUCCCACAGCUGCACCCCAGCCUCCUCUCCCACUGUCUUCCUGACCCUCCCUCUCCCGACUCCAGUGUCCUUGUCAAAGGCUCCUAGACCUAGUAGUGAGGGGCUGCUGGCAUCUGGGAAGCCACGUUGACCACCAGGAGCCCGAGCUCCCAAGUCUCUUCGGGAUGAGAAGGGGGGAUCCUCUCCUGCCCCGCUGGAGGUGCUGGCCGCCGAAGCGAGGUGGGGCUCUGUCUGCCCUCCCUGAUUGCUUGUCAGCAACGGAGAAACACUUCCAGAGCCUGGAAAACCAUGAAAUGAUGAAAGGACAGCUUGUUCCAGAGAGCGGGAGUCAAAAGAACUGAACCCAGACCAAUAAGCAGGAUUCAAUAGAUAACUUGGGGGACCCAAUACAACACAAAAAUGCUGGGCCCCUGGUUCGAAAAGUAUUCAAAAUUUCAAGAAGGCAACAAUAAAGCUUUUAACCAAGCAUGGAGCCUCCUAUGUGUGGGCCCCUCUGAGCACAGGGCCCUGUGUGAUACAUGAUCACAGGCCCCAGCAGGCCACCCUGCCUGGAGCCAUCAUUUACUAAGCGCCUACCAUGGGCUAGACUCUUUAUAUGCAGUAUCUCAUUUAAUUCUCAAAUAGCUCAUUGAGGUAGGCAUGUAUAUGUCCUCCUCACAGAUGAGCAAAUUUAGGCUCAGAGAAGUUAAACCCUUUGCCCAAGGGCACAGAAGCUAAUGAGCAGUGAUCAGUCACUCAGUCGUGUCCAAUUCUUUCUGACCCUUUGGACAGCAGCCCACCAGGCUCCUCUUUUAGGCAAGAAUACUGGAGUGGGUUGCUGUUUCCUUUUCCCGAUCUUCCCGACCCAGGGAUCAAACCUGCGUCUUCUGUGUCUCCUGCGUUGUAGGCAGAUUCUUUACCUGAUGAGCCAUGAGGGAAGCCCAGUAAGUGGUAUGUGAAUACAGAUUUUUCCAAGGCUAGAGCCUGUGUUCUUCUCUUGAGUGGUGCUGCCUCUGAUGGGCGGUCUCUGGGGGCUGCUGGGAGCAUGACCUCCGAGUGAGGGCACCCUGAGGUUGUGGCUGAGACUCCCUCCCCUGGCUUGACCUGCCC